Molecule: transfer RNA, 76 nt
Filed under: Burkholderiales bacterium
Lineage: Bacteria; Pseudomonadati; Pseudomonadota; Betaproteobacteria; Burkholderiales
Also listed under: 6 other names
Description: tRNA-Ala
Rfam family: tRNA
About the family: Transfer RNA (tRNA) molecules are approximately 80 nucleotides in length. Their secondary structure includes four short double-helical elements and three loops (D, anti-codon, and T loops).
Source: RNAcentral
GGGGCUGUGGCGCAGUUGGGAGCGCGUCUCCUUGGCGUGGAGAAGGCCACGGGUUCAAAUCCCGUCAGCUCCACCA